This 251-nucleotide ribosomal RNA is filed under the name uncultured prokaryote. Its description in RNAcentral is "partial 16S rRNA". It matches the Rfam family "Bacterial small subunit ribosomal RNA", at positions 525 to 775 of the family's 1533-position model. The record is from RNAcentral.
ACGGAGGGUGCAAGCGUUGUUCGGAAUCACUGGGCGUAAAGGGCGCGCAGGCGGUUUGGUAAGUCAGAUGUGAAAGCCCACGGCUUAACCGUGGAAGUGCAUUUGAAACUGCCAGACUUGAGUACCAGAGGGGAAAGUGGAAUUCCCGGUGUGGAGGUGAAAUUCGUAGAUAUCGGGAGGAAGACCGGUGGCGAAGGCGACUUUAUGGCUGGAUACUGACGCGGAGGCGCGAAAGCGUGUGGAGCUUACAG